Long non-coding RNA from Notolabrus celidotus (New Zealand spotty), 538 nucleotides. RefSeq lists it as uncharacterized. The transcript has 4 exons. NCBI's taxonomy places the organism in Eukaryota, Metazoa, Chordata, Actinopteri, Labriformes, Labridae. The record is from RefSeq and is a predicted model, not a curated record.
GACUCGCCCUGUAAGAAAUUAGAAAAUGCUACAAUAAAACCCGAAAAAACUGAAAAAUAAUGUGGCAACUUUAAUAAUGAAAGCCCCGAAGCCAUCAACCGUAGUCACACCCGUCCCUUUAGGUGGAAGUCUCCGAAAUCCAGCGAAGUACCACAGAUCAUUCAUGGAAAGCCGCCUUCUAUAUUGAAAAUGCCCCUGCUAGUACAACACAAGAUAUCAGAUGGCAUCGGAGUGAACUUAGGCCUGAGGCGAUAGCUCUACGUGGAUUCAGCUCUAGCACCGUUUUUUCUACAUAAAGAUGAAGUGAGCCCCUGCAUGGAGUGACUCCCCAGGAAGAGAAAACGAGGUAGGACAAAUCUCCAACAUGACUGAUUACUGUCCCCACCAUCUCCCCUGUUCAUAUCUACAACAAUAUCAGGCAUCUUCAUUAAUCCCCAUGGAUCAAUGUGUCUGGGGGUUGUAAAAAUUGACAAAUGACUUAUUAGAAUCCCACCGUUUUAUUUUCCAACUGAUUAACUCACAGCAAUGUCGUACACUA